RNAcentral lists this ribosomal RNA (497 nucleotides) under uncultured bacterium. RNAcentral describes it as "partial 16S ribosomal RNA". It matches the Rfam family "Bacterial small subunit ribosomal RNA", at positions 28 to 507 of the family's 1533-position model. The record is from RNAcentral.
GAUGAACGCUGGCGGCGUGCCUAAUACAUGCAAGUCGAGCGAACAGACGAGGAGCUUGCUCCUCUGACGUUAGCGGCGGACGGGUGAGUAACACGUGGAUAACCUACCUAUAAGACUGGGAUAACUUCGGGAAACCGGAGCUAAUACCGGAUAAUAUAUUGAACCGCAUGGUUCAAUAGUGAAAGACGGUUUUGCUGUCACUUAUAGAUGGAUCCGCGCCGCAUUAGCUAGUUGGUAAGGUAACGGCUUACCAAGGCAACGAUGCGUAGCCGACCUGAGAGGGUGAUCGGCCACACGGGAAUUGAGACACGGUCCAGACUCCUAGGGGAGGCAGCAGUAGGGAAUCUUCCGCAAUGGGCGAAAGCUUGACGGAGCAACGCCGCGUGAGUGAUGAAGGUCUUCGGAUCGUAAAACUCUGUUAUUAGGGAAGAACAAAUGUGUAAGUAACUAUGCACGUCUUGACGGUACCUAAUCAGAAAGCCACGGCUAACUACGUG